GGCGAGUGAAGCGGGAUCAGCCCAGCACCGAAUCCCCCAGCAUCUCGCUGGCGGGAACUGUGGUGUAUGGGACGCCAACUGUCGAAUGCGCCGGUGUCCGAAGUCCUCCUGAUCGGGGCCUCUCCCAGAGCGGGUGUCAGGCCUUUACUGGCCGCUGGCGCGUCGGCUGCGAGCGUCUCCGGAGUCGGGUUGUUUGGGAAUGCACCCAAAGCGGGUGGUAAACUCCAUCUAAGGCUAAAUACUGGCACGAGUCCGAUAGCGGACAAGUACCGUGAGGGAAAGUUGAAAAGAACUUUGAAGAGAGAGUUCAACAGUACGUGAAACCGCCUAGAGGUAAACGGGUGGAUCCGCAAAGUCGGCCCGCGGAAUUCAGCUCGGAUGGCGCGCGGCCGCGGCCGGGUCUGGGAUCGCAAGACCCUCCCGGCUGCGGCGCGAGCGUCGGCCGUGUGCACUUUCCGCGGGCAGAGCGCCACGACCGGUUCUCGGGCGGUCAGAAGGCGGCGGGGAUGGUAGGUGCGCGCUCCGGCGCGCACUGGUAUAGCCCCGCCUGUCCCGAUCCGCUCGGGGACCGAGGAGCCGCCGCCGGCGUGGGCCGCCUCGCCCUCCUGGGAGGUUCGACUGGCAGAGACUGGGCAACCGUGUCUGCCGACCGCUUCCUCGGACGGUCUGGGGUGGGCCCGCCGGCACAGGGUCGGUGGCGAAUCGGUCGGCCCUCCACCCGACC
This 724-nucleotide ribosomal RNA is filed under the name Nassarius sp. 405 LAG-2016. RNAcentral describes it as "eukaryotic LSU rRNA". It matches the Rfam family "Eukaryotic large subunit ribosomal RNA", at positions 88 to 649 of the family's 3401-position model. Lineage: Eukaryota; Metazoa; Mollusca; Gastropoda; Neogastropoda; Nassariidae. The record is from RNAcentral.